CUAGUGGCUGCCCAGCCCAGUGCCUGUCGCGGAGCCGUCUCCUGGUGAACGGCGACAGAAGAAACAGUAUGGCGCACACGUGCACUGCACGUUGUCAAUGCCGGGCGCUGGCUUUAGACCUUUAGCAGGCAAUCCACCCCCAAGAGCCAGGUUGUGCCCAUUUUAUAGAUGAGGAAACGGAGGCACCGGAAAGCUGGAAAUCCCAUGUCACAGGAACCCCUCUGUCCCAGGCAAACUAGAACGUUUGGUCACCUGUGGGGAAAAGGGCGUCGCAGUGAGGACCAGCGGCUGGAAGUCAGACACGCCGGGUGCUGCCUCUCGCUACCCUCUCGGUCCGCAUCACCUCCACCCAAUAGAAGAGGAUGCUGAGGCUCAGAAGCUGUGACAUCCACUCACACAGCACGGCAGUGACGCCGCAUGCCAGCAAACCCCAGCUCUCCCUGCCCCCCAGCCUUGCUGCUCUUCUCUGCACAAGGCUGUAAAAUGAUGACACAAAGGCGGACUAUGUCCCGGGAGCGGGUCUGUGUGAUCCUGUCCCCACACCACACCUCUUCCGCCCCCUCCUCUCCCUGGCUGACUCCUCGCCGUCCUUGGACACCAGCUUGAGGGCCCUCGCCUGCAGGCAGUCUGCCUGAUCUCCAGCCUGUUUCAGAAGCCCCGGGGCCUGUGCUUGGGCAACCAGGGUUCUUACACUUUAGGUUGUAGCAGGCCCUUGUCAGUCUCCCCCUGCACUAGGGCACCCAGGGGCCAAGAACUGAUGGC
This is a long non-coding RNA of Capra hircus (goat), 762 nucleotides long. RefSeq lists it as uncharacterized. NCBI's taxonomy places the organism in Eukaryota, Metazoa, Chordata, Mammalia, Artiodactyla, Bovidae. The record is from RefSeq and is a predicted model, not a curated record. The transcript has 3 exons.